AGUAAGAUGGCUGAGAAUACUAAGCGAGAGACUGUAAAUCUUUUUACGGGUAACCCCCUCUUACU
This 65-nucleotide transfer RNA is filed under the name Phascolosoma sp. MZK-2017. RNAcentral's name for it is "tRNA-Tyr". Lineage: Eukaryota; Metazoa; Annelida; Sipuncula; Phascolosomatiformes; Phascolosomatidae. The record is from RNAcentral.